This 504-nucleotide ribosomal RNA is filed under the name uncultured bacterium. RNAcentral's name for it is "bacterial SSU rRNA". It matches the Rfam family "Bacterial small subunit ribosomal RNA", at positions 28 to 524 of the family's 1533-position model. The record is from RNAcentral.
GACGAACGCUGGCGGCGUGGAUUAGGCAUGCAAGUCGAACGGUAUCAUCCUUUCGGGGGUGAGAGAGUGGCGAACUGGUGAGUAACACGUAGGUUAUCUACCCUCAAGACGGGGACAACCCAGGGAAACUUGGGCUAAUACCGGAUGUGAGCAACUUUUUAGUUGUUUGAAAGGUGGCGUAAGCUGUCGCUUGGGGAUGAGCCUGCGUCCUAUUAGUUAGUUGGUGAGGUAACGGCUCACCUAGGCAAUGAUAGGUAGGCGGCCUUAACGGGUGGUCGCCCACACUGGGAUUGAGAUACGGCCCAGACUCCUACGGGAGGCAGCAGUCGAGAAUAGUCUACAAUGGUCGGAAGACUGAUAGUGCGACGCCGCGUGAACGAUGAAUCCCUUCGGGGUGUAAAGUUCUUUUAUAUGUGAGCAGUGCUUCUUAUAUUAACAGUAUGGGGAGAGAGAUAUUAGCAUAUGAAUAAGCAACGGCUAACUCCGUGCCAGCAGCCGGGUAAA